GCGCAGCAGGCGAGAAUCGUUCACAAUGGGCGCAAGCCUGAUGGCGCGACGCCGCGUGUGGGAUGGAGGCCUUCGGGUUGUAAACCAACUGUCACAGGGGAAGAAAGGCACGGAUGCUAACAUCGUCCGUGUUUGACGUUACCCUGAGAGGAAGCCACGGCUAACUCCGUGCCAGCAGCCGCGGUAAUACGGAGGUGGCAAGCGUUGUUCGGAAUUACUGGGCGUAAAGGGUGCGCAGGCGGUCUGUUGUGUUCGAUGUGAAAAUCCCCCGGCUCACCCGGGGAACUGCAAUCGAAAACUGACAGACUUGAGUGCAGGAGAGGAGAGCGG
Molecule: ribosomal RNA, 330 nt
Filed under: uncultured microorganism
Description: bacterial SSU rRNA
Rfam family: Bacterial small subunit ribosomal RNA
Source: RNAcentral